This 107-nucleotide small nuclear RNA is filed under the name Neotoma lepida (desert woodrat). Lineage: Eukaryota; Metazoa; Chordata; Mammalia; Rodentia; Cricetidae. The record is from RNAcentral.
AUGCUUAUUUUGGCAGCACAUAUACUAAAAUUGGAACAAUGCAGAGAAGAUUAGUAUGGCCAUUGCACAAGGAUGACGUGCAAAUUUGUGAAGUGUUCCAUAAUUUU